AGUGAACGCUGGCGGUAGGCCUAACACAUGCAAGUCGAACGGCAGCACAGUAAGAGCUUGCCUUUACGGGUGGCGAGUGGCGGACGGGUGAGGAAUACAUCGGAAUCUACUUUUUCGUGGGGGAUAACGUAGGGAAACUUACGCUAAUACCGCAUACGACCUACGGGUGAAAGCAGGGGAUCUUCGGACCUUGCGCGAUUGAAUGAGCCGAUGUCGGAUUAGCUAGUUGGCGGGGUAAAGGCCCACCAAGGCGGCGAUCCGUAGCUGGUCUGAGAGGAUGAUCAGCCACACUGGAACUGAGACACGGUCCAGACUCCUACGGGAGGCAGCAGUGGGGAAUAUUGGACAAUGGGCGCAAGCCUGAUCCAGCCAUACCGCGUGGGUGAAGAAGGCCUUCGGGUUGUAAAGCCCUUUUGUUGGGAAAGAAAAGCAGCAGGUUAAUACCCCGCUGCUCUGACGGUACCCAAAGAAUAAGCACCGGCUAACUUCGUG
RNAcentral lists this ribosomal RNA (492 nucleotides) under uncultured bacterium. RNAcentral's name for it is "partial 16S ribosomal RNA". It matches the Rfam family "Bacterial small subunit ribosomal RNA", at positions 29 to 507 of the family's 1533-position model. The record is from RNAcentral.